RNAcentral lists this ribosomal RNA (216 nucleotides) under Glomeromycotina sp. Its description in RNAcentral is "partial small subunit ribosomal RNA". The stretch from base 40 to 216 matches the Rfam family "Eukaryotic small subunit ribosomal RNA", at positions 686 to 864 of the family's 1831-position model. Lineage: Eukaryota; Fungi; Glomeromycota. The record is from RNAcentral.
GGGUCAGUAGGUUGGUCGUGCCACCGGUACGUACUGGUCUCACUGAUUCCUCCUUCCUGAAGAACCGUAAUACCAUUAAUUUGGUGUUGCGGGGAAACAGGACUGUUAAUUUGAAAAAAUUAGAGUGUUUAAAGCAAGCUAACGCUUGAAUACAUUAGCAUGGAAUAAUGAAAUAGGACGAUCGAUCCUAUUUUGUUGGUUUCUAGGAUUGACGUA